Molecule: long non-coding RNA, 705 nt
Organism: Labeo rohita (rohu)
Lineage: Eukaryota; Metazoa; Chordata; Actinopteri; Cypriniformes; Cyprinidae
Exons: 2
Source: RefSeq, a predicted model, not a curated record
CGCGUUCAUCCGGGUCCUGGAGUCUCAGCACAGAGGCUGAUCGCGGGUGUUCAUCGCUAUUAGCUAUUAGCCAUUAGCCGACUAGCCUUCAGCUUCCAUUGAGGACACAGUGAAGACCGACUGUGCGUUUGGAAAUGUGGUAGAUGCCGAGACGAGAAUCCUAACAUGGCGGACAAAAGGGACUUCGGAAAAUCAGUUUGGUUACUUGUGUCACUAUCCAGUUGCAUUACUUCAUUUCCAGGUGGGAAGAAGACGACAUGUGCACCGUGGGAUGAGGUAGUAGGUUGUAUAGUUUUAGGGUCACACCCACACUGGGAGAUAACUAUACAGCCUACUGUCUUUCUCAAAGUGAAAACGGAGCUACGGAGUAACAGCCUACAUUUCCUGAUGUUUAAUAUCAGAUAUAUCAACGGUAUGUGUCGGCAAGCUGAAAUGUUUUCGAUUGUUAAAAGAGAUGGCAGUGCUUGCGCAGUGUGAGGUAGUAGAUUGUAUAGUUGUAGGGUAGUGAUUUUAUCCUGUGUAGAAGAUAACUAUACAAUCUAUUGCCUUCCCUGAGGGGCAUAAAUACACACCAAAGGAAUGCCUCAGUUCCAAUGUGAUGCAAUGUCUCUUUGUUUUGUUUUGUUUUUUUAAUCAAGCUUCAAAUUUUCCUUGUGUAAGGUAACUAUUUUUUUUUACUAACACAAUAAAAGAAUGUCAAAUUUA